GACGAACGCUGGCGGCGUGCUUAACACAUGCAAGUCGAACGGUGAAGCGCCUUCCUUUUUGGUGGGUGUGGAUGAGUGGCGAACGGGUGAGUAACACGUUAGUAACCUGCCCCCUUCUUCUGGAUAACCGCAUGAAAGUGUGGCUAAUACGGGAUAUUCUGGGUCUGUCGCAUGAUGGGUCUGUGAAAGAUAUUGUUUCGGUGGGGGAUGGGCUCGCGGCCUAUCAGCUUGUUGGUGGGGUGAUGGCCUACCAAGGCGGUGACGGGUAGCCGGCCUGAGAGGGUGGACGGUCACACUGGGACUGAGACACGGCCCAGACUCCUACGGGAGGCAGCAGUGGGGAAUAUUGCACAAUGGGCGCAAGCCUGAUGCAGCGACGCCGCGUGAGGGAUGGAGGCCUUCGGGUUGUGAACCUCUUUCGCCAGUGAAGCAGGCCUGCCUCGUUUGUGGGUGGGUUGACGGUAGCUGGAUAAGAAGCGCCGGCUAACUACGUG
Molecule: ribosomal RNA, 494 nt
Filed under: uncultured bacterium
Lineage: Bacteria
Description: partial 16S ribosomal RNA
Rfam family: Bacterial small subunit ribosomal RNA
Source: RNAcentral